UGACCAAACUAGAAUGUUUUCAGUGAGUACUUUUACAGCUUUUUCCUUACAAAUGUAUAUAAUGUGCAGAAAUGGGUUGCAGUCUUUUUAAGGUUAUGUCUUCAUAGGAGGGUUAACUGGAGCUCUGUACACUCAAACUGACUCCUUUGGAGUCAGUAUACUCUGCGUGUGAGUGACCACACCAUGAAAUAAUAUGGGAGCAGCAGAGAGUGAUUGUGUUGGCAACAGACAAAUUGUACUAACUUGAACUCGAGCUUUCCCUAUCUAAGGUUAAAGCACUACAGCAGCUUAAGAUCCUUGUGAGUGCAAGGAAAGGGAAUUCAGAAGGGGUGGGGAUAUUCACGCUUUAUUUCAAGUUAACUUUUAAGUAGAGACUAGCUUUAGGGCAUGAGUUCACAUCCACAGCCCAAACUGGUGAAUGCAGAGAAAAGCAAAGAGGAAGUAAAAACCGAAAGUGUGCCAUGCUGUCAUUUUUGCUUGUCUGAUGCAUACAUUGAAUGAUUUUUUCCUUUGGAUGAAUACUAGCUUGCAUAAAAUUCAAAUAACUCAGCUGUCUACAGAUGGGGGGAGGGAGUGUGGGAAGAAGAACAGAAGGAAGGAAAUGGAACUGAGAAGAUUGAAUUAACCUUUCAAUGUCUUGAAUUUCAAGAAAGGAAGAAUUAUCUCCUCUUAAGUCUGCAAGCAUGCAAUUAAAAUGUGAACAAGCCUUAAAAGCCACAUUUGCCCCAUAUUCCUAGAUCUCUAGUUUAAAGACAGAUCUUACAAAACAAAGGUUCAGAUACAGGAGGCAGGGAAAAAAAUUAUUAUCCUUUGAACAUCUAUUUUAAUCACAGAACUCUGGUAGAAAAAUGAGUAUAAAUGUCUGACAUUUACAUGGAACAUGUGCCUUUGAUAUUGAAGUUUCAAAACAUCCUUAUGUAUGUGUUUAGUAAUGGCAGACAAUCCUCAAGAAGGUGAAUGGUUUUCUCUGUGUUGGUUUCUGUUUCCAUGAAAUGGAUUUUUUCAGGUAUCUGCUUGAGCAUUGUGAAGCUUCAUUUGUUAAUGCAGGGCAAAGCUUUAGAAAGGACUUUGAUUCUUAAGUGCUCUGCUGGACUUUGUGAGUCAGAAGAAUUAGAUACCUGCUGAUUCAGGAGCCUCCAUGAAGAGUUAUGGAUGUCCAACGUGGCCAACGGUCUUGUGCUGGGCAUCCUGAAAUAAAGUAUUUGUUAGAAAACUUUAUAAUGCUGGAAAAGACUCAGUUUGGGGCUCAUCCCUGUUUCUGGAUGAAAUAUGCAGGAAGGAAAAGCAUUUUACAGAGCAGCUAGCUGGAAAUUGUUACUGUUUUGUUAGUUCUUUGGUAUUGAAAGGACUCAUGCUUGUCAAUACUUUUCCAAGGUAUCAAUAGGAUCCAUUUAAGACACAAAUUGAGCACUUCCAAGUCCAGGAUAGUAUGUCAAAUAAUUUGCUUGUAAAUGAAAAAUUAAACCCAAAAGUAAAUACUUUGCUGACAUAGGGAUAAUUUUCCCACAAAAUAAAAGCUGCUGGCACACAAUAUACAGGUAUUACAGCAGACGGUGUCUUGCUUUGAUUUCCAUUUCCUUCUAGUAAGAUAAUGACCCAGCAUGAAGGCAAAGAAUUGCAUGGCAGGAUACCAGCUUUCAAAGGAUCAGGAGGCAUUGCAAAAUUGAUUCAAAUUCUGGAGUAUUCUAGCUUAGUUUCUACUAAGCCUUGUACAGCAGUGAGCACAGUUGGGAUAGGGAUAUUUUACUUUAAUUGGCUUCAUUUUCUGAUGAGGGCUGUUGCUGGAAUUAGACUUAAGUGGAGAUGCAAAUGUUCAGAGAAUAUUUAUUCUAAGGUUGUACUAAGUCAGGACUUAUACUGGGGAUCCAUGAUGGAAAUAUGUCUUCAGUUCUUCUGCAACAAAUACUGGUAAUCAUCACUUGUGGUCAUGAAUAGCUCUUCCUGAAAACAAGGGAUUUUUUUAUUAGUAAUCAUCUCAGAUCUACCAAGUUGCUUUGUAGAAUCUCUGUAAAACUUUUAGGCUAAGCAACUUGGCUUUGUAAGAUUACAAACAGAGCUAUAGAAAUGGCUCACCCUUCAUGGUGUGGCUCUGGAUAUGGAUUUACUGAUGAGACAGGGAGGCCAUGGCACUCUGGCUCCUUGGUCCUAGGAGCCAGGGGCAUCUGCCAAGCUCCUGCAGCUGUGCAGCAGCUGGGGAAUGGUUCCCUCUACUUGUGAGCAGCCUCACACUGGGGCCUUGUCACUGUGCAGGGCAGUGCAUUGCCAUAUGUCCUGACAUGUGGAUGACAGUCCUAUGUCAUGUGGUGGGACUGCAGCCAUGCACUGCAUGUACUGUGGAUGCUCUGCAUGUGCCUGUGUGUUCAGAGGGGGAAAUGAGCCUGUGUGAGCUCCAUGCUGUCUUGGCUAGCCUGCUGAAACUGGGCUGGGUGUCUGCCUGCAUGUCGUGUAAGCAGGAAGUUACAAAAUGCUACCAUAAAAUUUGACCUGUGCCCUGAUAAACACAAGAGGACAGAUCCCACAUUGCUCAGUGAUCUGAAAAGCAGACACCUUUGAUUAGCUGUAUUUUGGGAGUGUAACCACACAGCCACUCAUUAAGUCAUUGCCUCCCUUCUCUCUGUAUUUACUGUCUUAGAAAAGGUGUCUAAAGCAUCAGGACUCCCAGUGCCUGCCUACCUGCCUGCCUCUGCUGUCUGUCUCCUCCCGCUGCAUGUGUUUUGUAUGUCAGGUUUCUUGCCGUUUUACUCCUGUCAACCGGCCAACGUAUCUGCUGAAGAGCCAGCUGGAGUCCGCGCUCUCCCGUGUUUCAUCAACAGGAUUGUCAGCUUGUUCUGAUUCAGUAUCUUUAUUGCUGUUGAUGAGGCUAAACGAAUCAGAAAGAACACAGCUAUGUAUACAAAAUACAAAUUCGGAAACCUCAGCUUGAUGCGAGGAAAUGUCAUUAGCUCUUCAAGUGGAGAAAUCUGCUGUGGGAGCAGACUGGCUGCAAGUACAGACCUCCCGAGAGCUCUGUAUCCCCUGACCCUCCCCGUUUUAUUGUCUUUGUACAGCACCUCCUAAUGAUACCACAUCUUCUAAUAGGGAAAUAUAGGUUUAGAUCUGAUUAAAACCUAAUCUACUGUGGGAUUCUGAUUCUCCCUUCUUUGGAUUCUAAAUGUAAAACCUCUUAAUGAGUGUUAAGUAUGUCUAGAUAAAUUUUAGAAUCCAUGCUGGGAAACCUGAAGCGAACCCCUUGCAGCUAUUGGCACUACUUGCAUUUCCAUUAAUCCCAUCCUACGUCUUGUUGGUUUUUUUUUCCUGUCACAUAUUGUCAGUUUUCCACGGGGGG
Pezoporus flaviventris is the source of this 3325-nucleotide long non-coding RNA. RefSeq lists it as uncharacterized. NCBI's taxonomy places the organism in Eukaryota, Metazoa, Chordata, Aves, Psittaciformes, Psittacidae. The record is from RefSeq and is a predicted model, not a curated record. The transcript is spliced from 2 exons.